Molecule: long non-coding RNA, 274 nt
Filed under: Gallus gallus (chicken)
Lineage: Eukaryota; Metazoa; Chordata; Aves; Galliformes; Phasianidae
Source: RNAcentral
AGCCCCCAUAAGGACCCCAUAGGACCCCAUAGGGACCCCAUAGAGACCCCAUAAGACCCCAUAGGACCCCAUAGGACCCCAUAACCUCCAUGUCCCCCUGCAGGGGCGCCGUGAGUUGGCGCUGAGCUCCUUCUGGUUGGCCAACUGCUGCCGCCUUUUGCAGUGCCUGAAGCAGCGCCCGGGCUCCGCCCCCCCGGAGCUGCCCGCGCUGUGUGAGGCUCUCUAUGCGCAGCUCUGCGCCAAUGCUGACGCCGCUCUGCAGCCCAUGGUCGGU